This 253-nucleotide ribosomal RNA is filed under the name uncultured bacterium. RNAcentral's name for it is "partial 16S ribosomal RNA". It matches the Rfam family "Bacterial small subunit ribosomal RNA", at positions 524 to 776 of the family's 1533-position model. The record is from RNAcentral.
UACAGGGGGUGCAAACGUUGCUCGGAAUUAUUGGGCGUAAAGCGCGCGUAGGCGGCUACCUAAGUCGGAUGUGAAAGCCCCUGGCUUAACCGGGGAAGUGCACCCGAAACUGAGUAGCUAGAGUGCAAAAGAGGGUCGCGGAAUUCCCAGUGUAGAGGUGAAAUUCGUAGAUAUUGGGAGGAACACCGGUGGCGAAGGCGGCGACCUGGGUUGACACUGACGCUGAGGCGCGAAAGCGUGGGGAGCAAACAGG